This 48-nucleotide non-coding RNA is filed under the name Schistosoma curassoni. The record is from RNAcentral. Lineage: Eukaryota; Metazoa; Platyhelminthes; Trematoda; Strigeidida; Schistosomatidae.
AUCCAGCCGACGAGUCUGAAAUAGGACGAAACGUGAGUCAAACUGGAU